AACGGUCGCGCGGUAUGUUGCCGAAAGGUAUUACCGCGAGGAAAGUCCGGGCUUCACAGGGCAGGGUAGCUGAUAACGUCAGCCGGAGGCGACUCCCGGGAAAGUGCAACAGAAAUAGACCGCCUCGAAAGAGGUAAGGAUGGAAAGGCGAGGUAAGAGCUCACCCACUCCUAUGGUAACAUAGGUUUGCUGUAAACCCUAUCCGAAGCAACACCGCAGUCGGAUCGUCUGCCCGACACAUAUCCGCAGGUGGCACGGGGAAUUUCCCCCGAAGCUUAUCGGUGACGGUAAGCGAAGAUUGAUGACCGUUCUCGACAGAACCCGGCUUAUAGGCAAA
Molecule: RNase P RNA, 337 nt
Filed under: human gut metagenome
Description: Bacterial RNase P class A
Rfam family: Bacterial RNase P class A
About the family: Ribonuclease P (RNase P) is a ubiquitous endoribonuclease, found in archaea, bacteria and eukarya as well as chloroplasts and mitochondria. Its best characterised activity is the generation of mature 5'-ends of tRNAs by cleaving the 5'-leader elements of precursor-tRNAs.
Source: RNAcentral